Molecule: long non-coding RNA, 564 nt
Filed under: Pogona vitticeps (central bearded dragon)
Lineage: Eukaryota; Metazoa; Chordata; Lepidosauria; Squamata; Agamidae
Description: lncRNA (ENSPVIG00000022169.1)
Source: RNAcentral
ACAUAUUGUUUUAAAUGACUGAUAAUUUUUAUUUGCUGCUGCCAUAGGCCGCCUGGUCUAUUCCCUCUCUUUCUCUCUCAUUCUCUCUCUCUCUCUCUCUCUCUCUCCCUCCUUGUCUUGUAAGCUUAGAAAUUACACAAAUGCCCCUGAGGUGGUGAGCUGUAGGCCCUUUGCUUUCAGUGUUGCUGCAAAUAGAGCUGGUAGCCACUAGAGGGGAGGAGACCGCUGGCUUUUCCGAAUGCUUCACGGUAGAGCAUGAAGGUGAAGAAGCUGUCACAGCCCUGGUUGUCCAAGGGAAAGGUUUAAAAUAUGGUGUGAAGCACAGAGCUUAAAAGAUGCUGACUGUGUAUUAUCUUGGUGAAGGGAUUUCUGAUUCUACAUGGGAUUUUGCUUGGUGGUUGUGGCUGCAGCUGACACCGCCUUUGACUGUCAAGUGUGCCCUGCAGUUACGCAAUGCUAAGUGAACAGCAAAAUCCCUUCUGGGAUACCAUGCUUUGAAACAUGAAGAUGCGACAGACUCUGAAUAAGGAUAAUGAUUACAGAAGGGCAUGACAUCUACAGUAC